UUUUGCAAUCCUCGAUCGGGUGCCGCAGACAAAAGGAGCACAGAAACCAGAGCUGGAAGAGAAGAAUAGAGUCCUUUCUUCAUCCAAGCCGACCGGCUGUUGAGCACCUUGGAGAAGCUCUCAACACCCAGGGCAGAUGGGAUAUCUUGGUGGCAGAGGAGGGCUUUCCCUUCAGCGUGCGCACCUGCUGCACAUUUCAAUCAGCCAUGUAUUGAAGGACUGUGAAGCUGCAAAGCCUUGUGAAGCUGUCGUGCUUCAAGUGUUGUUUUCUGGACCUCUCGAUACUAUUCCUAGUCACUCUCGUUUUGUUCAGAGAGCCUUGAUUAGCGUCGCUUGUGGUGUGCGCGCCCGUCGUCACGUGCCGAGGAAAGACUCUUGAUGAGCGCGACUGCCAACACGCUCCCAAGUGGAAGCCGCAUGCAGCCGAAGCUUAAAUC
Long non-coding RNA from Hippocampus comes (tiger tail seahorse), 437 nucleotides. RefSeq lists it as uncharacterized. The transcript is spliced from 3 exons. The record is from RefSeq and is a predicted model, not a curated record. NCBI's taxonomy places the organism in Eukaryota, Metazoa, Chordata, Actinopteri, Syngnathiformes, Syngnathidae.